ACAUUACUAAAUCAGUUCAAGAAUGGCAAAUCAUUUUUGUCAGGGGAUGUUUUCUUACUGGACAUUUACAAACACGAGGAAACUGGUAAAAAACUGCUCUCUGCCAGACAAAGCGAAGUGGAGGCGAUGUCUAUUAAAAAAAGUUUGGCUAAAAACAGAUUCUUACACUAAAGGUCUUCAGAAAUGCCGUCGUGUGGUGGAGACCUCAAAUGUUGAAACCGAAGACUGCUCCACAGUGAAAAAAAGGGCACAUAAAAAGCCAACAAGAUUUGUUUCGGAAAUUGAUUCUUCCUCAAAUGAUGAUGGCAGAGUUACCAAAGGACCAAAGGGCAAUACAGAUCUGUCAAAACCUCAUCCACCAAAAUAAGGAAGUUCACCACUUUCUCAACACUCAGAGGAAUCGCUGCAGGAGUCCCAACUGCCAAGUAUAUCACAGCCUCUUGAAGUGGCUUCACGGUUCCUCAUAGAAGAGCCCCAGUAUUCUGACUCUGCAACAAAUAGCUAUCGGACAAAAGUCUUACAAAAGCU
Non-coding RNA from Pimephales promelas (fathead minnow), 528 nucleotides. Lineage: Eukaryota; Metazoa; Chordata; Actinopteri; Cypriniformes; Leuciscidae. The record is from RefSeq and is a predicted model, not a curated record.